RNAcentral lists this small nuclear RNA (197 nucleotides) under Erinaceus europaeus (western European hedgehog). Its description in RNAcentral is "7SK RNA". It matches the Rfam family "7SK RNA". From Rfam's summary of the family: 7SK was discovered as an abundant small nuclear RNA in the mid-70s but a possible function has only recently been suggested. Two independent studies have found that 7SK RNA binds the CDK9/cyclin T complex (known as elongation factor P-TEFb). P-TEFb activates transcription by phosphorylating the C-terminal domain of RNA polymerase II. The record is from Rfam by way of RNAcentral. Lineage: Eukaryota; Metazoa; Chordata; Mammalia; Eulipotyphla; Erinaceidae.
GGAUGUGAGGGCGAUCUGGCCAUGAUAUCUGUCACCCCAUUGAUCACCAGGGUUGAUUCGGCUGAUCUGCCUGGCUAGGUGGGUGUCCUCUUUCUCCCUCAACACUCCAUGUGUGUUCCUCCCUAAGGUGCACGCUCAGCCAAAGAGGAUGGCCUUCCCCGAAUAAAUUUCAAAAGAAUUAUAUGUUUUUAUGUUUU